CCUACGGGCGGCAGCAGUGGGGAAUAUUGCACAAUGGGGGAAACCCUGAUGCAGCGACGCCGCGUGAGUGAAGAAGUAAUUCGUUAUGUAAAGCUCUAUCAGCAGGGAAGAAAAUGACGGUACCUGAGUAAGAAGCCCCGGCUAACUACGUGCCAGCAGCCGCGGUAAUACGUAGGGGGCAAGCGUUAUCCGGAUUUACUGGGUGUAAAGGGAGCGUAGACGGCAUGGCAAGUCUGGAGUGAAAGGGGGGGGCUCAACCCCCGGACUGCUCUGGAAACUGUACGGCUGGAGUGCAGGAGAGGUAAGUGGAAUUCCUAGUGUAGCGGUGAAAUGCGUAGAUAUUAGGAGGAACACCAGUGGCGAAGGCAGCUUACUGGACUGUAACUGACGUUGAGGCUCGAAAGCGUGGGGAGCAAACAGGAUUAGAUACCCCUGUAGUC
Molecule: ribosomal RNA, 440 nt
Filed under: uncultured bacterium
Lineage: Bacteria
Description: partial 16S ribosomal RNA
Rfam family: Bacterial small subunit ribosomal RNA
Source: RNAcentral